Molecule: long non-coding RNA, 205 nt
Filed under: Nicotiana benthamiana
Lineage: Eukaryota; Viridiplantae; Streptophyta; Magnoliopsida; Solanales; Solanaceae
Description: long non-coding RNA (NBEN_LNC034731)
Source: RNAcentral
CGGUACAUAGUAUGUCUAGAAAACAAGAAAUGUAGCUGUGGACAAUUCCAACUUGAUGAACUUCCAUGUGCCCAUGCUUUGGCAGCAUUAAGGCAUAGGAAUGAAAGGCCUGUCAACUAUUGCUCUCCGUAUUACACAACGAAUAGCCUUCUUCUUACCUACGAAAUGCCAGUAAAUCCUCUUCCUGAUGAAGCCAAAUGGGAUG